GGUCGAAAGGUUCUAGUAUAGCACUAUACUGUGAAACUGCGAAUGGCUCAUUAAAUCAGUUAUCGUUUAUUUGAUAGUACCUUACUACUUGGAUAACCGUGGUAAUUCUAGAGCUAAUACAUGCUAAAAACCUCGACUUCGGAAGGGGUGUAUUUAUUAGAUAAAAAACCAAUGCCCUUCGGGGCUCCUUGGUGAUUCAUAAUAACUUAUCGAAUCGCAUGGCCUUGUGCCGGCGAUGGUUCAUUCAAAUUUCUGCCCUAUCAACUUUCGAUGGUAGGAUAGUGGCCUACCAUGGUUUCAACGGGUAACGGGGAAUUAGGGUUCUAUUCCGGAGAGGGAGCCUGAGACACGGCUACCACAUCCAAGGAAGGCAGCAGGCGCGCAAAUUACCCAAUCCCGACGCGGGGAGGUAGUGACAAUAAAUACUGAUACAGGACUCUUUUGGGUCUUGUAAUUGGAAUGAGUACAAUUUAAAUCCCUUAACGAGGAACAAUUGGAGGGCAAGUCUGGUGCCAGCAGCCGCGGUAAUUCCAGCUCCAAUAGCGUAUAUUAAAGUUGUUGCAGUUAAAAAGCUCGUAGUUGAACCUUGGGCCUGGCUGGCCGGUCCGCCUCACCGCGUGCACUGGUCCGGCCGGGCCUUUCCUUCUGGGGAGCCGCAUGCCCUUCACUGGGUGUGUCGGGGAACCAGGACUUUUACUUUGAAAAAAUUAGAGUGUUCAAAGCAGGCCUAUGCUCGAAUACAUUAGCAUGGAAUAAUAGAAUAGGACGUGUGGUUCUAUUUUGUUGGUUUCUAGGACCGCCGUAAUGAUUAAUAGGGAUAGUCGGGGGCAUCAGUAUUCAAUUGUCAGAGGUGAAAUUCUUGGAUUUAUUGAAGACUAACUACUGCGAAAGCAUUUGCCAAGGAUGUUUUCAUUAAUCAGUGAACGAAAGUUAGGGGAUCGAAGACGAUCAGAUACCGUCGUAGUCUUAACCAUAAACUAUGCCGACUAGGGAUCGGGCGAUGUUAUUUUUUGACUCGCUCGGCACCUUUACGAGAAAUCAAAGUCUUUGGGUUCUGGGGGGAGUAAUGGUCGC
This 1074-nucleotide ribosomal RNA is filed under the name Scytalidium auricola (nom. inval.). RNAcentral describes it as "SSU rRNA". It matches the Rfam family "Eukaryotic small subunit ribosomal RNA", at positions 62 to 1132 of the family's 1831-position model. Lineage: Eukaryota; Fungi; Ascomycota; Leotiomycetes. The record is from RNAcentral.